This 628-nucleotide long non-coding RNA is filed under the name Androctonus crassicauda. Lineage: Eukaryota; Metazoa; Arthropoda; Arachnida; Scorpiones; Buthidae. The record is from RNAcentral.
AAUAAAAAAGCCUUCUUAAUUUUUACUUAAUCAUAUAAAAGUUAUAUUGCUUAGUGAGCUGCACAAAAACUUGCAACGGGCUGCAUGCGGCCCGUGGCCUGCAUGUUGCUGACCCCUGCUUUAAUUAGCACGAUUAUAAUAUUGUUGCAUUAAUUGAAUGAAAUAUAAUUGUGAUUCUAAAUUAAUUUGCAAUAUUUCUUCACAGUAUAUAUCAGUUUUCAUCAAGAUCAGACUUACCCUUAGAAAAUGGCAACCUUCAAACCAAGUGAAGAACACACGUCAUUGUACGUUACUUGACUUUCAUCAUAGAUCAAAGGCAAUGGAUGCAAUAACAGUGUAUAUCGAGGAGCUAUUAAAAUAAGGACCUGUCAGAUGUGGUUUUCGAGAUUUCGUGAGGAUUUUAAUUUAAAAAAAAGAGAGAGAUCUACUUUACUAUAAUAACUCACUACAACACUUCCUGCAGUAUUGGGAUACUAAUUUUAUUGCAAACUUUAAAACAGAACGAACGUUUUCGGCCGUUCGCCAUCGUCAGGUUCCACAUAAAAGCGUUAGAAUUUUAAACAAUAAAUAGAACAUCAGAACAUUUUUAAACUACGUCAUACUACAGUAUUAGCUAAAUACGCGAUUA